This 504-nucleotide ribosomal RNA is filed under the name uncultured bacterium. RNAcentral's name for it is "partial 16S ribosomal RNA". It matches the Rfam family "Bacterial small subunit ribosomal RNA", at positions 28 to 523 of the family's 1533-position model. The record is from RNAcentral.
GAUAUACGCUAGCGGCAGGCUUAACACAUGCAAGUCGAGGGGCAGCAUAGAUUGUAGCAAUACAAUUGGUGGCGACCGGCGCACGGGUGCGUAACGCGUAUGCAACCUACCCGUCACAGGGGGACAAUCCGGAGAAAUCUGGUCUAAUACCCCUUAACAUCUGGAUCGGCAUCGGUUCAUGUUGAAAUUUUCGGAGGUGACGGAUGGGCAUGCGUAGCAUUAGUUUGUUGGUGAGGUAACGGCUCACCAAGGCGACGAUGCUUAGGGGGACUGAGAGGUUUUCCCCCCACACUGGUACUGAGGCACGGACCAGACUCCUACGGGAGGCAGCAGUGAGGAAUAUUGGUCAAUGGGCGCAAGCCUGAACCAGCCAUGCCGCGUGCAGGAUGACGGCUCUAUGAGUUGUAAACUGCUUUUGUACGAGGGUAAAGUGGGUUACGUGUAACCUUUUGAAAGUAUCGUACGAAUAAGGAUCGGCUAACUCCGUGCCAGCAGCCGCCGUAA